AGGAAUAUUGGUCAAUGGGCGAUGGCCUGAACCAGCCAAGUAGCGUGAAGGAUGACUGCCCUAUGGGUUGUAAACUUCUUUUAUAAAGGAAUAAAGUCGGGUAUGCAUACCCGUUUGCAUGUACUUUAUGAAUAAGGAUCGGCUAACUCCGUGCCAGCAGCCGCGGUAAUACGGAGGAUCCGAGCGUUAUCCGGAUUUAUUGGGUUUAAAGGGAGCGUAGAUGGAUGUUUAAGUCAGUUGUGAAAGUUCGCGGCUCAACCGUAAAAUUGCAGUUGAUACUGGAUGUCUUGAGUGCAGUUGAGGCAGGCGGAAUUCGUGGUGUAGCGGUGAAAUGCUUAGAUAUCACGAAGAACUCCGAUUGCGAAGGCAGCCUGCUAAGCUGCAACUGACAUUGAGGCUCGAAAGUGUGGGUAUCAAACAGGAUUAGAUACCCUGGUAGUCCACACGGUAAACGAUGAAUACUCGCUGUUUGCGAUAUACGGCAAGCGGCCAAGCGAAAGCGUUAAGUAUUCCACCUGGGGAGUACGCCGGCAACGGUGAAACUCAAAGGAAUUGACGGGGGCCCGCACAAGCGGAGGAACAUGUGGUUUAAUUCGAUGAUACGCGAGGAACCUUACCCGGGCUUAAAUUGCACUCGAAUGAUCCGGAAACGGUUCAGCUAGCAAUAGCGAGUGUGAAGGUGCUGCAUGGUUGUCGUCAGCUCGUGCCGUGAGGUGUCGGCUUAAGUGCCAUAACGAGCGCAACCCUUGUUGUCAGUUACUAACAGGUGAUGCUGAGGACUCUGACAAGACUGCCAUCGUAAGAUGUGAGGAAGGUGGGGAUGACGUCAAAUCAGCACGGCCCUUACGUCCGGGGCUACACACGUGUUACAAUGGGGGGUACAGAGGGCCGCUACCACGCGAGUGGAUGCCAAUCCCUAAAACCCCUCUCAGUUCGGACUGGAGUCUGCAACCCGACUCCACGAAGCUGGAUUCGCUAGUAAUCGCGCAUCAGCCACGGCGCGGUGAAUACGUUCCCG
Molecule: ribosomal RNA, 1018 nt
Filed under: uncultured bacterium
Lineage: Bacteria
Description: bacterial SSU rRNA
Rfam family: Bacterial small subunit ribosomal RNA
Source: RNAcentral